Molecule: long non-coding RNA, 578 nt
Organism: Triticum aestivum (bread wheat)
Lineage: Eukaryota; Viridiplantae; Streptophyta; Magnoliopsida; Poales; Poaceae
Exons: 4
Source: RefSeq, a predicted model, not a curated record
AUCACAUACCUGAUUUGUUUGUUGUCCUUGAAGCAAAUACCAUGACAUGAGCUUGAAGAUUUCAAAGAUACAGAAGGUUGACAGAAAGAGGAUACACUGAUUUCAGCUGCGGACAUUGAGCUGAGUCUCUCCCUAAUAGAUUUGUUUCCCUACAAUAUGGCAGAUUAAUGUAUAUUCUUCUGAAGUCAUAGUACAUUCAUGGUCUGUAUAUAUGUUUGUAUGCUGCAAACCUGAGUCCGGUUUCAAAGUUUGGCCGCAGCUAGCUUGAUUUGGAGACAUUUCCUGUUAGGAGUUAAACUUUGGUUUGGAGGCAUCGAGCUUUGGCUGUAACUAGCUUUGUUACUUGGUAUACCUCUGUCAGCAUUCAGGAGCCGGGUAGUUGUUGAGCGGGUUGUGGGAGAGGCGGUCGGCGAGCGCGGGCUAGACGGGAAGGUGAUGCUUGCGAUGGCGACCAUGCCGGCGGGCAGGGCAAGGUCGAUUGUGUCCAUCAUGGUGUUUCCGAGGGAGAGCGAGGCAUCUGCCAUCGCGCAUCUGAAGAAGUCGAUGCUCGGGGCGAGGUUGACCACCGUGGCCGGCAU